RNAcentral lists this ribosomal RNA (541 nucleotides) under uncultured bacterium. RNAcentral's name for it is "bacterial SSU rRNA". It matches the Rfam family "Bacterial small subunit ribosomal RNA", at positions 775 to 1313 of the family's 1533-position model. The record is from RNAcentral.
AGAUAAUAGAUACCCGGGUAGUCCAUGCCGUAAACGUUGGGAACUAGGUGUGGGUCUCAUUCCACGAGAUCCGUGCCGCAGCUAACGCAUUAAGUUCCCCGCCUGGGGAGUACGGCCGCAAGGCUAAAACUCAAAGGAAUUGACGGGGGCCCGCACAAGCGGCGGAGCAUGCGGAUUAAUUCGAUGCAACGCGAAGAACCUUACCAAGGCUUGACAUACACCGGAAACAUCCAGAGAUGGGUGCCCCGCAAGGUCGGUGUACAGGUGGUGCAUGGUUGUCGUCAGCUCGUGUCGUGAGAUGUUGGGUUAAGUCCCGCAACGAGCGCAACCCUCGUUCUAUGUUGCCAGCACGUGAUGGUGGGGACUCAUAGGAGACUGCCGGGGGUCAACUCGGAGGAAGGUGGGGAUGACGUCAAAUCAUCAUGCCCCUUAUGUCUUGGGCUUCACGCAUGCUACAAUGGCCGGUACAAAGGGCUGCGAAACCGUGAGGUGGAGCGAAUCCCAAAAAACCGGUCUCAGUUCGGAUUGGGGUCUGCAACUC